Molecule: long non-coding RNA, 400 nt
Organism: Rhincodon typus (whale shark)
Lineage: Eukaryota; Metazoa; Chordata; Chondrichthyes; Orectolobiformes; Rhincodontidae
Exons: 3
Source: RefSeq, a predicted model, not a curated record
UAGGCCUGUGUUGUUGAUUGGAAAAGGGAUUCUAUGGCCAUCGGCCCCUCUCUCUGCCGCCGAAAAAUACAGGGACCAACACCUUAGUGUCAAGGGCAGAAGUUUUUACAGCGCAGAAAGAGGCCCCUCGUGUCCGUGCCGAUCAUCUAACACUCAUCUAUUCUAAUCCGACUUCCCAGCAUUUAGCCGGUUUCUGGCACUAACCUCACUGAGGCUUGUAUUCCUCAUUGCAUUCGGUCUGAUGAUUAUUGUAUGUGCUGACACCUGGAAGACUAAAAUCUGGCCUGAACUCCAAGUGAUGCACAUGGAAGACAGUGAUGCUGAGAGGUAUAGAAUUGCAUUUUACUUAUUAUGCAUUUUUGAACUUUCUAACAAUGUAUGGACUGUGUGCUUUAUAUUU